UACGGAGGGUGCAAGCGUUAUCCGGAUUCACUGGGUUUAAAGGGUGCGUAGGAGGGCAGGGAAGUCCGUGGUGAAAUCCUAGAGCUCAACUCUAGAACUGCCGUGGAUACUCUCUGUCUUGAAUCCCGUGGAGAUGAGCGGAAUAUGUCAUGUAGCGGUGAAAUGCUUAGAUAUGACAUAGAACACCAAUUGCGAAGGCAGCUCGUUACACGAAGAUUGACUCUGAGGCACGAAAGCGUGGGGAUCAAACAGG
This 253-nucleotide ribosomal RNA is filed under the name uncultured bacterium. Its description in RNAcentral is "partial 16S ribosomal RNA". It matches the Rfam family "Bacterial small subunit ribosomal RNA", at positions 524 to 776 of the family's 1533-position model. The record is from RNAcentral.